This is a long non-coding RNA of Triplophysa rosa, 216 nucleotides long. RefSeq lists it as uncharacterized. The record is from RefSeq and is a predicted model, not a curated record. Lineage: Eukaryota; Metazoa; Chordata; Actinopteri; Cypriniformes; Nemacheilidae. The transcript has 3 exons.
AGUAUUUCAUCUUUUCCAAACAACCGAGUAAAUUUACAGCUCAUUCAAGUGCCACUGGUCUGUUUUUGGAGAAUUUCAUCUUUAAGGUGCUGUGAGAAAGAGCCAUGUCUCCCGUGCCGCCACUGAUGAUGACAUUACAAAACACGUAAUACGGUGGUUCAACUUGGCAGCAGAUAGGGGAAACUCAAGGAGCCGUCCCACUGUCAGCACCCAACA